UUAGGUCGACCCGCUGAAUUUAAGCAUAUCACUAAGCGGAGGAAAAGAAACUAACCAGGAUUCCCUUAGUAACUGCGAGUGAACAGGGAUUAGCCCAGCACCGAAGCCUGCGAUCAUUUGGUUGCUAGGCAAUGUGGUGUUUAGGUUGGUUUAUUGGCAUUUCUGCUUCACCCUAAGUCCAUCAAUGAGUACGGCUUUUGGACCGGCCCAUAGAGGGUGAAAGGCCCGUGGGGGUGAAGAUCAAGUUGGACAGUUAUGCCUUGAGCCAACCUUGGAGUCGGGUUGUUUGUGAAUGCAGCCCAAAGUGGGUGGUAGACUCCAUCCAAGGCUAAAUACUGACACGAAUCCGAUAGUAAACAAGUACCGUGAGGGAAAGUUGAAAAGUACUUUGAAGAGAGAGUAAACAGUGCGUGAAGCCGCUCAGAGGUAAACGGGUGGAGUUGAACUGGAAACCCUGUGAACCAAGCUAAUAGGUAUGUAAUGCGCUCGGCCAUAUUAGUUGACAUUCAGAGUCUACUUGAUUGUGGGCCUCUAACUCUUCGGAGCCUUGGUGUGUGUCGCACUUAUCAUGUGCUGUGCGCUCUGUUUGUAUCGGGCUUGCCUGUUAGUUCGCAUUCUAUGGGUGAUCACCACGACCGGCGUUGUCGCCUGUCUGCUGUGGUUAAACCGGUUCGGUUAGGUCAUUUUGGCUUGGCUGGAUCGGGAUGGCAGGUAGCUUAUUUGCUCUUUGAGUGAGUAGGUGUUAUUUGGGCUGACCAGUGGCGGAUUUGUGCGAUAUGUCGGAGAUGAUGGCUUUGGUGUGUGCAUUUUCAUUCCAUUGGUUCGGGUUUGAUUAACAAGUUACCUGCUUUAGUGUAGGUCGGUUAGUAGCUCGUUCCAUUUUGGGGUGGAUCUAGCAUAUGUCACCUAUUUGGGCCUAUAGUCUGUGGUGUAGUGGUAGACUAUCCACCCGACCCGUCUUGAAACACGGACCAAGGAGUUUAACAUGUGCGCGAGUCGUUGGGCGUUACUAAACCCAAAGGCGCAGUGAAGGUAAAGGUUUGGACAUUGUUUGAACUGAGGUGAGAUCCUGUUGUUACGUGCCGUUUAUAGCGGAGACUUUGUGAGCAAUGGGCGCAUCACCAGCCCGUCUCAUGGUGUAGUCAUGUGGCAUUUCAUGUUGUGUGCACCACCGGGGCGGAGCUAGAGCGUACAUGUUGAGACCCGAAAGAUGGUGAACUAUGCUUGCGCAGGUUGAAGCCAGAGGAAACUCUGGUGGAGGACCGCAGCGAUUCUGACGUGCAAAUCGAUCGUCUAACGUGAGUAUAGGGGCGAAAGACUAAUCGAACCAUCUAGUAUCUGGUUCCCUCCGAAGUUUCCCUCAGGAUAGCA
Molecule: ribosomal RNA, 1371 nt
Filed under: Aporocotyle spinosicanalis
Lineage: Eukaryota; Metazoa; Platyhelminthes; Trematoda; Strigeidida; Aporocotylidae
Description: eukaryotic LSU rRNA
Rfam family: Eukaryotic large subunit ribosomal RNA
Source: RNAcentral